AUAUGCUCUAUGAUGAAUUGAAUAGUUAUCCCUGUCUGAUGUUAUUAAUGAGAGAUAACCAUGUUCUGAGGCAUAU
Argiope bruennichi is the source of this 76-nucleotide small nucleolar RNA. RefSeq annotates it as small nucleolar RNA R38. The transcript has a single exon. NCBI's taxonomy places the organism in Eukaryota, Metazoa, Arthropoda, Arachnida, Araneae, Araneidae. The record is from RefSeq and is a predicted model, not a curated record.